UGCAAUAGCUUAUGUGUUGUGACAGAAUUGAUAUUGUUCAUCCCAUAUCCAUCAUUUCAAAGUACAGAGGAUCAGAAGCCCAAUUAAAUUAUGACUCCCCUCUCUCCCGCAUCUCUUUCUUUGUCUUCAGCUUCUUCCCUCUCUCUCUCGUGUCUCUUAUGGGUUUCUUUUAUUCCAGUUGGAUAUUUUUCUUGUUUAUCUUCUUCUUCCAAAACCGUGUUCUCUCUUCCUUCUUUCACAUCUUCUAGUAUUUUUUUUUUUCUCUUCUUUUUCUUCUUCUUCCCUCUUUCUUUCUCUUCUCUUUUCCUCUGUUUCCACUAGAUCUCUUCUCCUCAGUGCAUAUUCUAGGUUUUUUUCUCUUCUUUCUCUUCUCCUUCUCUCUCCCUACCAGUCUCUUCCUUCUUUCUUUUCUUCAGGUUUUUUUUCUCUUCUUGUUCCCUCUUUCUCUCUCCCCGUCUCUUUCUUUCUCUACUCCUUUCCUCUAUUUCUCCCGCGUCUCUUCUCUGCAUCUCACAUUCUAGGUUUUUUUCACUUCAUUCUCUUCUCGUUCUCUAUCCCGUGUCUCUUCCUUCUUUCUCUUCUUCGAGUUUGUUUUCUCUUCUUUCUCUUCUUCUUCCCUCUGUUUUUCCUGUAGCUCUUCUUCUUCCCUUUUCACUUCAAUCAAGUCCAGCAUGGCACUGCUUCGGUUAUAUCUCCAGCACAUUGAUUGACAUACAUGCUCAGCCACAAUCCAACCAGAUGAAGAGUUUAGUAAUGUGUAGAACAAUAAGAGGAAGGCCAGGUACCUUAAUUAGAAGGUGUGUUGGACGACCAUGGACCUUGUGGAUUGAACUCAAAAGGCAGCAACGAUAAUUUUUAAGGAGGUUGUCAGGCAUAGGCCUAAAUAUGCCAGAAGGCUGGGAGAGAUGGAGAUGCUCGAGUCGAGUAGGAGGUCGCAAUAUUGUUGUGCAUGUGGUGUUGAUGAUGGGGGCCCUCACAAGAUGGUUGUCGUUACAAAGCAGAACUUGAGGAACUAAAGAAACAUGUGCAGGACCUAUUGGAGAAAUAGGCUGAAUUUGAUAAGUUCAUGACGUAUAGCACCAUGUCACAGCAGCAAUAUGCAUAGAGAGAGUCUCCAAUAGAGACUCAUGGUGUUGAGUAAUCCAAAUGAUUCACCAUGAUGUUUUUUGUAUAAAACCAAGCUUUUGGAGAGGCCAUGGUGGGAAAUAUUUUGGAAACUGAUGGGUGACAACGUUGGAGAUGACCAGUUUAAAGUGAUGAAUGGAUCGAAUAUUGUGGGUCAAUCUCAAGGUAUAAAAAACGGUAAGUACAUAUUUUGGGACUAAGUAUUUGGGCCAUUUUGGUGGUGGCUGGAUCAUUUAUAUGAAACAAACAUUGAGGCCAUUUUUGUGAUGCUUAACAUGUAAGCUUCACUAAGUUUGAUGUGUAUAUAAAGGUUGUCUGAGCUUGUAUGUCAAUAUAAAAGUUGUCUCUCAUAUAUGUAUAGGCUUAGAGCAUACACCAUGAUUGUUGUAACAGGAACUUAGCAUGAAUGUCAAAUAUUUUGUGACAUGGCUUUAUGGUUGUA
Carya illinoinensis is the source of this 1567-nucleotide long non-coding RNA. RefSeq lists it as uncharacterized. The record is from RefSeq and is a predicted model, not a curated record. The transcript is spliced from 2 exons. NCBI's taxonomy places the organism in Eukaryota, Viridiplantae, Streptophyta, Magnoliopsida, Fagales, Juglandaceae.